GUAUGUCUGUUUUAUAUGUAAUGUAGUA
RNAcentral lists this small RNA (28 nucleotides) under Bombyx mori (domestic silkworm). RNAcentral's name for it is "ovarian small RNA-17684". Lineage: Eukaryota; Metazoa; Arthropoda; Insecta; Lepidoptera; Bombycidae. The record is from RNAcentral.